CGUGAUAAGAGCAAGUCACGAUUACGGUAGUGUUCAAUAUUCUGGUCUUUGCUAUAGUUGUACUUUCAUUUUCGUUUUUUUGCGUGAAUCAUUUUUCAUUGUGGAACUAUUUAUAGUGCCAGAUAACUCCACUCGUUUCUGCCCUUUCCUUUUCAACUCCUGGAGCGUCUUUCAUUUUCUUCCUUGGUCCCGGACUCGAGGUAAUCCUGCGUUAAAACUCGGGCCAGAUCAGACCUAGACAAUGAUUUUAGAAUCACGAGUGGAUGCCGAUGGACUUUAACCUGGCGAGUAAAGACCCUCGAGUUGGAAAGACGAAGCAUUAAUUUUCCAUCAUGAGAUGUCGGGGAUAUCUCGAGUUAGAGCCUUGUCAUCGAGGGGAUCUGGAGUUGUCCGGUGCAGAUCUGCGUCGCGGGAUCCCCCGUUGAGUGUCGUAACCGGACGAGAAAAAUGGAUUCGCUCGUACCAGGCGAGGUGUAAUUGGGCCCGGAGAAAAAUGCAGUCGACCCAUCAUGCGGAAGCAGCGUCGACGUCAAUGAGCAGCGUUGAACUGCCGCGUCAGGCGUUUAAGGAGACGUUAAUUAGAACGAAGCGACGUAGAAGAGAGGCGCUCGUCGUAGACACCCGUUGUCGGUUCUCAUCUCGCCUUCGACUUUUUCCUCUGCAUCUCGAGGUGCACAGUUUGCUUUCACCUCGUAUCGAUCGACCACGAUCCCCCGUAAUUGCGCGAGAACCAUGAGCGCGACACCGUAAACUACUCCGGUUUUACGGCUUGGAUCCUCUCGAAUCAGCGAACCAUUAUGAAAAUACAGAAAGAUGUACACGUCGGAGAAAUUAACGCGAGAACUAGCGAUAAAGGCGAAACAGCUUCAGAAAUUGCGUAAAUUUGCAACGAUCCGUUUUUCGUUCUUUCGUUUCUCAUGAAUAAUGCGAAUACAAUAGUAUGGAAUAAUGUGUAAGAUAUAGAAUAGUUUAACCUUUUGCACUCGACGAUUUUUUCGUUACAGAAAAAUAGUAAUUUUGUCUGCCAUAAAGUCAGAAUAUUUUUAAAGCGGUAAGAAAUCAUAUACAAAUUAAGGCGUAGAAUUAUUCUACCUCGACAUUCCACGCAUCGUUGGGUAUUUUUAAGUUCGAUAUGUUAAUUAACAAGGAUAUUUAGAAUCUGAUGAAAUGGCGAUUGAAGGUUGCCUCUCGAGUGCAAAGGGUUAAUAUAUUUUAUAUAAUGCAUAAAAUAAUGUUCGUAAUAGUUGAAGUGGUAUACAUCAUUAGGCUGCAAGAAUUAAUAUCAAUUUCGCGAAAAGCAGCUAAAAAAUGUUUGCAAUUAGAGACACAAAGUCUGAAGCUAGUCAUACUGAUUCCUUCGAUAGUUCUAGUAUUAAUCGCUUCCGUUACAAUUUAAUUAUAAAGAACUUGGCAUUGUUUAAUUUUAAUUAGCCACUGUAUAUCUAUUUGGUUCGCAAGAAGAUUAUAAAGGGUUCGACACGAAACCAGACUCGCCAUUAUAGCGUAAAAGCAUAACGUAUUGUAUGCAAAAUAAAAAUAUUAUAAAAUAAUACUAAUCGAAAUAGUUGCGAGAUACGAGAAAGCUAGAACACGUGUAAUUGAAAAGCAAAGAAGACACCGAGAGUUCGUAUUUUAAGAAGGAACGUGUAACAGAUGUUAUCGAUAUUGAUUUAUAAGUUCGGAGACGAUGAUGGAUCAAUGGCUACCGACAACGAAGGUGGCGAUCGGAGGAUUCUAUUAGGCCCAUCAAAGAAAGGUAUUGAAAUGGAAGAUGCCGACGAACGUGCGCGACAAGAAGGCAACACUCGGUCGUUCUUUUGCUCGUCGCUUUAACGUGUCGCUUUUACGUGAGCCACAUAUUGCGUUACCGAUCAAGGAUAACGAGCUGGUACCUCGAGAAGACAGAGGCGAAGCAGUAGAAUUGUCUCUUCCUCCCUUCCACCUGAAAGAAUCGCGCAGUGUAAACGCUUUGCCGGAAGACGAAGAAAGAGUAACUAAUUAGGAUUGCCCAACUUAGACCGUUAGAAAAUUGACUACCCGAGUAAAUAAAAUUCGCAGGGACAAUAGGGUUCGAACGAGGUAUAAAGGAUAAUUGCCACAUAUAUGAUGAUGGAAAUAGUUUGGAACCAUACUACCAAAUCUCGAAAUAGUAGGAUAAUUCUCGAGCUUUUGAGCCCUGGUUUAUCGAGAUGCCCUACAGCCUCGAUAAGCCAAAAAUAUUUCAAUGACAACGGAGCUUUUCAG
RNAcentral lists this long non-coding RNA (2244 nucleotides) under Eufriesea mexicana. Its description in RNAcentral is "uncharacterized LOC108548938, transcript variant X1". The record is from RNAcentral. Lineage: Eukaryota; Metazoa; Arthropoda; Insecta; Hymenoptera; Apidae.